CCUACGGGAGGCUGCAGUGGGGGAUAUUGCACAAUGGGGGAAACCCUGAUGCAGCGACGCCGCGUGUGGGAAGACGGUCCUCUGGAUUGUAAACCACUGUCCCCAGGGACGAAGAUGACGGUACCUGGGGAGGAAGCUCCGGCUAACUACGUGCCAGCAGCCGCGGUAAUACGUAGGGAGCGAGCGUUGUCCGGAAUUACUGGGUGUAAAGGGAGCGUAGGCGGGGAUGCAAGUUGGGUGUCAAAACUACCGGCUCAACUGGUAGUCGCACUCAAAACUGCAGCUCUUGAGUGAAGUAGAGGCAGGCGGAAUUCCUAGGGUAGCGGUGAAAUGCGUAGAUAUUAGUAGGAACAGCAGUGGCGAAGGCGGCCUGCUGGGCUUUUACUGACGCUGAGGCUCGAAAGGGUGGGGAGGAAACAGGAUUAGAUACCCCAGUAGUC
RNAcentral lists this ribosomal RNA (440 nucleotides) under uncultured bacterium. RNAcentral's name for it is "partial 16S ribosomal RNA". It matches the Rfam family "Bacterial small subunit ribosomal RNA", at positions 338 to 795 of the family's 1533-position model. The record is from RNAcentral.